UGCUCAUUGAUAGUUGCCCAUCAAUGAAAUUAGGGCUAGCUGUACCCGAGCAACCAACUCAGAUCUCACUUUUACCAGCCACAUCAAAGCCUUCACCAAAACAGCUCCCUGUCAUCUUAUUAUGUAUAUAUAUAUAUUUAUAUUAUUUAUGUAUUUUUUGUUUUUUUUAUCUUUUUUUAAAUUUAGGGUUAGUUAUUAAUUAUUAAUUAAUUUAUUUUUCUUCUCAUUUUUACAUUUGUUUUGUUUCGCACUCCUACGCACUUUGUCUUCAUUUUUUUCCUUAGGACGUUCCUUUUGUGUUGAUUCAUUGAAAGCACCUUGAAUUGCCUCUGAGUUUGAAAGGUGCCAUAUAAACACUACUGAAAGGUGCUAUAUAAACACUACUGAAAGGUGCUAUAUAAAUGCUACUGAAAGGUGCUAUAUAAAUGCUACUGAAAGGUGCUAUAUAAAUACUACUGAAAGGUGCUAUAUAAAUGCAUGUGCCUUGCCUAUUUAUAUCUCAUUCUUCUGCUCAUGGCAGUCAUAUUUUGAAGACUGGUCAGGGUUUACCAUUCCACAAUGGUUCCACAUCUGUUGGACAUAAUAGUCCAUAAACCUUCCAUGCAGCACCAAAAUUGUGUGGAUUGCACAUUGUGUGGAUUCACACCUCCAGGACAUCCUAAAACCUAAUCCUUGAGCUUUAUCCUCACCAGAAAAUCCUCCUGGAUGAUGGCUUCACUACCAGAAACCGA
Molecule: long non-coding RNA, 731 nt
Organism: Clupea harengus (Atlantic herring)
Lineage: Eukaryota; Metazoa; Chordata; Actinopteri; Clupeiformes; Clupeidae
Source: Ensembl